GAAAUGGAUGAUGAAGGACUCCAAACAGUUUUAUGUGAGGUUGAAGCUAUAAUGAACGACAGACCCAUUACUAAAGUUUCAGAUGACUCAAAUGAUCUUGAAGCACUGACACCCAAUCACUUGUUGUUGCUGAAAAAUAAACCAGUUUUUCCACCAGGACUGUUUCAUCCAAGUGAUUUGCAUGUCAGGAAAAGGUGGAAACAGGUACAGUACAUGGCAGAGUUGGAAGAGAUGGCUUUCUGAGUACCUACCUUUGAUGCAAGAAAGACAAAAAUGGAUGAGGACUAAAAGAUGUCUUAUACCUGGAGAUGUUGUUUUAAUUGCAGACGCUACAGCUCCAAGAGGAUCAUGGAUGAUGGCGAAAGUCUUAAAUGUAAACCAGGAUGCAAAAGGCUUGGUGCGUUCUGUGAGACUACAAACAAGGACCAGUGUUUUGGAAAGGCCAGUGACAAAACUUAUUUUGCUACUGGAAGCCUCAUCGUGAAGAAAAUCCUCAAUGAAAAUUAAGGAUUUGUUUAAGGGAAUAGCUCCUCCUUUUGGGACUUUAAAGUAAUUGUGAUUGUAUGCACAAUUAGGGGCCGGAGGGUUGGAGCUAUUUGUUAUUUAUUUAUUUAUUUAUUUAUUUAUUGUGAAAUUAGUUAAUGUUUGUUGUUAGUUUACUUAUAUUUUGGGGUUUAAUUGUUGGUUAAUAUUUUGUUUUAAAUGAUUUGUUUGUUUGUUGUUAUUUUGUUAAAUUUAGUUAGUAAGAGCUGUAGGGCCAUUUUGUUUCUAUAAAUAAAGAGACUGGUAUAGGACCAGCAUGCAUUGGGGUGGGCCUAUGGUUUUUUUUACCAGAGCAGGAGAAGCAGCAGGAAGGAUCUUGUUAUUGCUUGCCAAGAUGGAUAAAUAAACCAAAACCAAAACUUUCAACUAAAACGUUUGGACAAUGGACUUCUUUUGCCUGCGUACGAAAUAUUACCUCAAUGCAGCAGUGGCUUGUGGACUUUAAGUUGUGGGACGUUUGAUCUUUCAAAAGUAAAGGAAUUGCCACUACAACUCCAACACAGCAUAGCUGCAACCAUGUUGCAUGAACUGACAGGUGAUGGCAGAUGUGAGCCAGAGGAGGGCGCUGUUGUGCGGGCAGGGAUCACACAAAGCCCAUAUACUGGAUUGAGGUGAAGGGAUUCUUAAAUCAUAAUUAUUGUGUAGUUAAGACCAACAGUGGUUUUCAUGGUUUCCAGGGACCUGCUGGAGUUCGGGGUCCUGGAGGUCAGG
Molecule: long non-coding RNA, 1254 nt
Organism: Astatotilapia calliptera (eastern happy)
Lineage: Eukaryota; Metazoa; Chordata; Actinopteri; Cichliformes; Cichlidae
Source: Ensembl